UACAGAGGGUGCAAGCGUUGUUCGGAAUUAUUGGGCGUAAAGGGCGCGUAGGCGGUGCUGUAAGUCUGUAGUGAAAUCUCUGGGCUCAACUCAGAGUCUGCUAUAGAAACUGCAGUGCUGGAGUGUGGGAGAGGUGAGUGGAAUUCCCGGUGUAGCGGUGAAAUGCGUAGAUAUCGGAAGGAACACCUGUGGCGAAAGCGGCUCACUGGACCACAACUGACGCUGAGGCGCGAAAGCUAGGGGAGCAAACAGG
Molecule: ribosomal RNA, 253 nt
Filed under: uncultured bacterium
Lineage: Bacteria
Description: partial 16S ribosomal RNA
Rfam family: Bacterial small subunit ribosomal RNA
Source: RNAcentral